CAACCAUCAAGCCCCCCGGCUUGUGUUGGGGACCUGCGGCUGCCGCAGGCCCUGAAAACCAGUGGCGGGCUCGCUAGUCACUCCGAGCGUAGUAGUUACAUCUCGCUCAGGGCGUGCUGCGGGUUCCGGCCGUUAAACGCCUUAUUUACCCAA
This 153-nucleotide unclassified non-coding RNA is filed under the name uncultured Humicola. RNAcentral describes it as "sequence contains ITS2". The record is from RNAcentral. Lineage: Eukaryota; Fungi; Ascomycota.